RNAcentral lists this ribosomal RNA (2834 nucleotides) under Campylobacter coli. Its description in RNAcentral is "partial 23S ribosomal RNA". It matches the Rfam family "Bacterial large subunit ribosomal RNA". The record is from RNAcentral. Lineage: Bacteria; Pseudomonadati; Campylobacterota; Epsilonproteobacteria; Campylobacterales; Campylobacteraceae.
GUAAGCUACUAAGAGCGAAUGGUGGAUGCCUUGACUGGUAAAGGCGAUGAAGGACGUACUAGACUGCGAUAAGCUACGGGGAGCUGUCAAGAAGCUUUGAUCCGUAGAUUUCCGAAUGGGGCAACCCAAUGUAUAGAGAUAUACAUUACCUAUAUAGGAGCGAACGAGGGGAAUUGAAACAUCUUAGUACCCUCAGGAAAAGAAAUCAAUAGAGAUUGCGUCAGUAGCGGCGAGCGAAAGCGCAAGAGGGCAAACCCAGUGCUUGCACUGGGGGUUGUAGGACUGCAAUGUGCAAGAGGUGAGUUUAGCAGAACAUUCUGGAAAGUAUAGCCAUAGAGGGUGAUAGUCCCGUAUGCGAAAAACAAACCUUAGCUAGCAGUAUCCUGAGUAGGGCGGGACACGAGAAAUCCUGUCUGAAGCUGGGUCGACCACGAUCCAACCCUAAAUACUAAUACCAGAUCGAUAGUGCACAAGUACCGUGAGGGAAAGGUGAAAAGAACUGAGGUGAUCAGAGUGAAAUAGAACCUGAAACCAUUUGCUUACAAUCAUUCAGAGCCCUAUGUAGCAAUACAGGGUGAUGGACUGCCUUUUGCAUAAUGAGCCUGCGAGUUGUGGUGUCUGGCAAGGUUAAGCAAACGCGAAGCCGUAGCGAAAGCGAGUCUGAAUAGGGCGCUUAGUCAGAUGCUGCAGACCCGAAACGAAGUGAUCUAUCCAUGAGCAAGUUGAAGCUAGUGUAAGAACUAGUGGAGGACUGAACCCAUAGGCGUUGAAAAGCCCCGGGAUGACUUGUGGAUAGGGGUGAAAGGCCAAUCAAACUUCGUGAUAGCUGGUUCUCUCCGAAAUAUAUUUAGGUAUAGCGUUGUGUCGUAAUAUAAGGGGGUAGAGCACUGAAUGGGCUAGGGCAUACACCAAUGUACCAAACCCUAUCAAACUCCGAAUACCUUAUAUGUAAUCACAGCAGUCAGGCGGCGAGUGAUAAAAUCCGUCGUCAAGAGGGAAACAACCCAGACUACCAGCUAAGGUCCCUAAAUCUUACUUAAGUGGAAAACGAUGUGAAGUUACUUAAACAACCAGGAGGUUGGCUUAGAAGCAGCCAUCCUUUAAAGAAAGCGUAAUAGCUCACUGGUCUAGUGAUUUUGCGCGGAAAAUAUAACGGGGCUAAAGUAAGUACCGAAGCUGUAGACUUGCACACAACUUAGAUUAUUUAAGUUUAGAAUAUGAGAAACUAAGUUAUAUGUUUAGUUAUAUUUUUACUGAUUUUUAUAGAGUAAAGAUAGAAAUAAAACUUAGUAAAAUCAGUAAAAAUAUUCUUAGACUAAAGUUAAGUAGUUUAAGUUGUGUGCAAGUGGUAGGAGAGCGUUCUAUUUGCGUCGAAGGUAUACCGGUAAGGAGUGCUGGAGCGAAUAGAAGUGAGCAUGCAGGCAUGAGUAGCGAUAAUUAAUGUGAGAAUCAUUAACGCCGUAAACCCAAGGUUUCCUACGCGAUGCUCGUCAUCGUAGGGUUAGUCGGGUCCUAAGUCGAGUCCGAAAGGGGUAGACGAUGGCAAAUUGGUUAAUAUUCCAAUACCAACAUUAGUGUGCGAUGGAAGGACGCUUAGGGCUAAGGGGGCUAGCGGAUGGAAGUGCUAGUCUAAGGUCGUAGGAGGUUAUACAGGCAAAUCCGUAUAACAAUACUCCGAGAACUGAAAGGCUUUUUGAAGUCUUCGGAUGGAUAGAAGAACCCCUGAUGCCGUCGAGCCAAGAAAAGUUUCUAAGUUUAGCUAAUGUUGCCCGUACCGUAAACCGACACAGGUGGGUGGGAUGAGUAUUCUAAGGCGCGUGGAAGAACUCUCUUUAAGGAACUCUGCAAAAUAGCACCGUAUCUUCGGUAUAAGGUGUGGUUAGCUUUGUAUUAGGAUUUACUCCGAAAGCAAGGAAACUUACAACAAAGAGUCCCUCCCGACUGUUUACCAAAAACACAGCACUCUGCUAACUCGUAAGAGGAUGUAUAGGGUGUGACGCCUGCCCGGUGCUCGAAGGUUAAUUGAUGGGGUUAGCAUUAGCGAAGCUCUUGAUCGAAGCCCGAGUAAACGGCGGCCGUAACUAUAACGGUCCUAAGGUAGCGAAAUUCCUUGUCGGUUAAAUACCGACCUGCAUGAAUGGCGUAACGAGAUGGGAGCUGUCUCAAAGAGGGAUCCAGUGAAAUUGUAGUGGAGGUGAAAAUUCCUCCUACCCGCGGCAAGACGGAAAGACCCCGUGGACCUUUACUACAGCUUGACACUGCUACUUGGAUAAGAAUGUGCAGGAUAGGUGGGAGGCUUUGAGUAUAUGACGCCAGUUGUAUAUGAGCCAUUGUUGAGAUACCACUCUUUCUUAUUUGGGUAGCUAACCAGCUUGAGUUAUCCUCAAGUGGGACAAUGUCUGGUGGGUAGUUUGACUGGGGCGGUCGCCUCCCAAAUAAUAACGGAGGCUUACAAAGGUUGGCUCAGAACGGUUGGAAAUCGUUCGUAGAGUAUAAAGGUAUAAGCCAGCUUAACUGCAAGACAUACAAGUCAAGCAGAGACGAAAGUCGGUCUUAGUGAUCCGGUGGUUCUGUGUGGAAGGGCCAUCGCUCAAAGGAUAAAAGGUACCCCGGGGAUAACAGGCUGAUCUCCCCCAAGAGCUCACAUCGACGGGGAGGUUUGGCACCUCGAUGUCGGCUCAUCGCAUCCUGGGGCUGGAGCAGGUCCCAAGGGUAUGGCUGUUCGCCAUUUAAAGCGGUACGCGAGCUGGGUUCAGAACGUCGUGAGACAGUUCGGUCCCUAUCUGCCGUGGGCGUAAGAAGAUUGAAGAGAUUUGACCCUAGUACGAGAGGAC